RNAcentral lists this ribosomal RNA (501 nucleotides) under uncultured bacterium. RNAcentral describes it as "partial 16S ribosomal RNA". It matches the Rfam family "Bacterial small subunit ribosomal RNA", at positions 30 to 523 of the family's 1533-position model. The record is from RNAcentral.
AUUGAACGCUGGCGGCAGGCUUAACACAUGCAAGUCGAGCGGUAACAGGAGAAGCUUGCUUCUCGCUGACGAGCGGCGGACGGGUGAGUAAUACUUAGGAAUCUACCUAGUAGUGGGGGAUAGCUCGGGGAAACUCGAAUUAAUACCGCAUACGACCUACGGGAGAAAGGGGGCAACUUGUUGCUCUCGCUAUUAGAUGGGCCAAAGUCGGAUUAGCUAGAUGGUGGGGAAAAGGCCUACCAUGGCGACGAUCUGUGGCUGGUCUGGGAGGAAAAUCGGCCAAACCGGGAGUGAGACAGGGCCGGGAUUCCUACGGGAGGAAGAGUUGGGAAAUAUUGAACAAGGGGGGAAACCCGGAUCCAGCCAUGCCGCGUGGGUGAAAAAGGCCUUUUGGUUGAAAGCACUUUAAGCAGUGAAGAAGACUCUAGGGUUAAUACCCUUAGACGAUGACAUUAGCUGCAGAAUAAGCACCGGCUAACUCUGUGCCAGCCGCCGCGGUAA